CAGAUGUGUGUAAGAGUGAGUGGACUGAGUAAGGGUCAAACUUGGGAAAUUAGUGGGGGGAUUGAUUUUUUACCUUUCUUCAUUUCUUUUUCUUUCUUGAAAAUUUUCCCUGUCUCUUCCAUAAUCAUGGCAUCACCUUUC
Prionailurus viverrinus (fishing cat) is the source of this 141-nucleotide long non-coding RNA. RefSeq lists it as uncharacterized. The record is from RefSeq and is a predicted model, not a curated record. The transcript has 3 exons. Lineage: Eukaryota; Metazoa; Chordata; Mammalia; Carnivora; Felidae.